Molecule: ribosomal RNA, 451 nt
Filed under: uncultured Fibrobacter sp.
Lineage: Bacteria; Pseudomonadati; Fibrobacterota; Fibrobacteria; Fibrobacterales; Fibrobacteraceae
Description: partial 16S ribosomal RNA
Rfam family: Bacterial small subunit ribosomal RNA
Source: RNAcentral
ACGGAAGGCAGCAGUAGGGAAUAUUGCACAAUGGGGGAAACCCUGAUGCAGCAACGCCGCGUGUGGGAAGACGCAUUUCGGUGUGUAAACCACUGUCGUGAGGGAAUAAGGACGCUUCUCGGAGCGUUUGAAUGUACCUCGAAAGGAAGCACCGGCAAACUUCGUGCCAGCAGCCGCGGUAAUACGAGGGGUGCAAGCGUUGUUCGGAAUCACUGGGCGUAAAGGGAGCGCAGGCGGAGAUGCAAGCAGUCUGUACAAUACCGGGGCCCAACCCCGGACCUGCAGACUGGACUGUUUCUCUUGGAUAGCUCAGGGGCUGGCGGAAUUCCUGGUGUAGCGGUGGAAUGCGUAGAGAUCAGGAAGAACACCGAUGGCGAAGGCAGCCAGCUGGGGGCUUAUCGACGCUCAUGCUCGAAAGUGCGGGUAGCAAACAGGAUUAGAUACCCUGGUA